This is a non-coding RNA of Crotalus tigris (Tiger rattlesnake), 1298 nucleotides long. NCBI's taxonomy places the organism in Eukaryota, Metazoa, Chordata, Lepidosauria, Squamata, Viperidae. The record is from the annotation of a RefSeq genome assembly.
UCCAGAAGAUAGUAGAGGACAGGAAGACCUGGAGGAACGUUGUCCAUGGAGUUGCGAUGGGUUGGACAUGACUUUGCAACUAACAACAAAAACACAGCCCUCAUCCAGCUGGAACUACAACUCCCGUAUUCUCAUCAGCCACAUUGUUUUGAGAGUUACAUUUCAAAAACGUGACAUUUUAGCAGGGGUGUGUUGACUUUCUAUAUUCUAAGUAAGCUGUUCUAGAUAUGGAGCCCUCUUCCAUCUGGAACAUUCAGAUACACUGAAAAUAUAACUCCCCAUGUUUCAUCAGACACAUUGGCUGGGCACUUUCUGGGUUAAAUCCAUUAGGACAUUUUAAGAUGGAUGCAAAGUAGAAUUAAAAAUAUAUUUUGAUAGAUUUUUCUCCUCCAGAGGGCAGUCUAGACCUUCACACUUUCUCCAUCCUUUCUCAAACCUCCUGCUUGACAUAAAAACCACAACUGAGGCCCUGUGCGAUGAACACAACUGCUUGCCACAAAAGGAAACCACUCUCUGGUUUAUAGCUUUUUCUAAAUGUAAGAAGCGAAGGAGAAUGUUAGUUUUCUUCAUUGUUCCAAGGAUGUCUUUUUCUUCUGAAACAAAUCAUUAUUUGAUUUUUCUGGGAACUUUCUUACUGCUCAUGAAAUCAGGAACUUCUCAAAGCGAUUCAGUGUCCCAGACCAGAAGCAACAUGGAAGUCCUAGAAGGAGAAGCUGCCACUUUGCCCUGUAACUUCACAACUUUCAGCUCCAGUCCAUAUCUUUAUUGGUAUCGUCAAUAUGGGAACCAAAGACCCGAACGAAUCCUGACUGCUCACAAAUACGGGAAUAACCCCUUCCAGGAGGGAAAGUUUUCCACCACAUUGGUUAUAGAAAAUCAGAAUUUAGUUCCUCUGAACAUUAGAAGUGUCUCUUUACUGGAUGGAGCUGUUUAUUUCUGUGCUCUGAACACCACAGUGAAUCAUCACCAUAUACAGACUUGCACAAAAAUCAACGAAAUGAAACCAACCUCAACCCUGUACAGAGAAUUCUGUCCCAAAGGGCUAGCUGCAUUCAUCAGCAUCAUUUUUAAAAAGUGGUGGAGAAUGAAACGAUUACAAUCCUAUUGGACUUUCUAAAAGAAAUAUAUUUACUUUUCACCUGGAAGAAGCCAGAAUGGUUACAGUUCCAGGGAAACAAUACUAGACAAUUGACAUUGAAGCAUAAGGGAGAAUAAGAAAGAACAGCUAUCCAAAAAACUUUGUGUUCUGACACACACAGCACCCAAAUCAUACCACCACACACUGCCAACCACCACAC